UGCCAGCAGCCGCGGUAAUACGGAGGGGGUUAGCGUUGUUCGGAAUUACUGGGCGUAAAGCGCUCGUAGGCGGAUUAGUAAGUUAGGGGUGAAAUCCCGGGGCUCAACCCCGGAACUGCCUCUAAUACUGCUAGUCUAGAGACCGAGAGAGGUGAGUGGAAUUUCCAGUGUAGAGGUGAAAUUCGUAGAUAUUGGGAAGGACACCAGUGGCGAAGGCGGCUAACUGGCUCGGUACUGACGCUGAGAUGCGAAAGCGUGGGGAGCAAACAGGAUUAGAUA
RNAcentral lists this ribosomal RNA (279 nucleotides) under uncultured bacterium. Its description in RNAcentral is "partial 16S ribosomal RNA". It matches the Rfam family "Bacterial small subunit ribosomal RNA", at positions 506 to 784 of the family's 1533-position model. The record is from RNAcentral.